Molecule: long non-coding RNA, 2944 nt
Organism: Hylaeus volcanicus
Lineage: Eukaryota; Metazoa; Arthropoda; Insecta; Hymenoptera; Colletidae
Exons: 3
Source: RefSeq, a predicted model, not a curated record
CGAUGAUUCUGGUAGGCGGUUACAGCGGUGAAUCUCGUCUCGGGGAAGGUGAAGGUUUUGAAGUUCUCCGUGCGAGGAUCGGGGCCAGAACCUGGCGGCGAGGGCGCGACCACCACGUGGCACCUUGGAUCAUCUGUUGGAAUCGUUAUCGGAAGACGACGGUGAUCCGAAGGAGUAAGAGAAGUCCCGAGGAAGGGAAAUGCAAGAGGAAAAAAACACACGUGAGGACCUUUCUAUGUUUCGAAGGAAGAGCCACCGCAGGGGGGCGGUCACAAUGUUUGACAGCCACGAGAGACUCGGUGACUAAUUAGUGUAAAAACUAACCCCCGACCCACUCCGGCAACACGACACCCUCGUCCUUCCUCUUGCGCACACUUUUCUACGAGCAUAUGCCGGGGCAUGUGUCUCUUUGGAUACACGAAAAGAACAGAACCACAGGGUCGGUGGGGAGGAAGAAGAGAAGAAGAAAAGUCAUCCUCGCGAAGAGCCAAGUGUAUGUGUGUGUGUGGCCUUCCGACACGGUCUACCAGAAUCUUUGAAUACGCGAUUUUCUUCCUCUCAUCUCCUUCUCACCCCCGCCAAUUGCUAUAUUCUAUUUUUUUUAUCGUUUCCAUGCCAGAGAUAGACAAAAUAUUAAUCAAGAUUCAUUACAAUAAAUUACAUUCCAAAGCUAGACUACUUAAUGUUUACACAUUUUGCAACAAGAAGGCUCCGAGUACAAAGGGUUAAUAUUAAUAUUCUCAAGGAUCAUACGCGUAAAACAAGCAUCAUAAUGUAUCGAAUUUCGUCGCGUUUCUCAACCGUGAACGCUCCACGACGCAAAGUCCCAAUUAAGAAACCGGAAUCGUUGAGCGUUUUAGCGCCGAAUUCUGACCCGACUGAUUUUUUACAAAGCCCGGUGGCGUGCCUCUCUAAGCGCAAUUAAAGGAACAAACUGCUCGAUGGCACGUGAAAGAAGGGCCCGACAACCACGAGUCAAAAUUCUUUCCACGCGUUAAGUAAUAAAUCCUCGAAUGGAACGCGAGCCAACGCCACGAGUCGUUCGGCUUCGAAGCGCGCGCGUCCAGAAAAUUCGUUUGAACAAAACAGUCGAACCGAUAUGGUUUGCUUCCGUGCUUGUUCAUACAUUCUUAUCUUCCUCUGAAUAAACUUCACCCGAUAGUCAUUCCAAAACUCGAAGUCUUAGCUUUCGGACAACGAAAUAAAAACGAUUAAACUCGUACCAGUAAUUUGCCUCGCUUUCACAGUCCUGCAUCGAAAUUGGACGAGUCAUCGAGCGAGUUUGUCGGCAAAAGUGACUGUCCCGCGUUUAUAAUAAUCGACGACACGUCGAACGAGAACGUAGUUGUUCAGAUUUUGGAAUAGAUAGAUCAGGACCAGGACGAGCCAGAUGAAAAGCAACCCCGAGAAAAGGAAUUGUGACAUUGUCCUAGAACAGUUUUCGAGCGAUUAAAGAGCAAUGGUAGAGGAUAAUAAAUAAUGAAUGUAGGAUUAGGAAUCAGACUGAGUAAUGAUUACAAAAGUGAUCGCUGGCCAGCUCUGUCCUGAAACAGGUCUGGUGUCGGAGGGUCGCGCUCCGUCCUCUCUUUGACUCACGACUGACCAAUACAACCGACGUCUGAAUCGAAGCAAAUUCGAAACAUUAAUCGGUAUGCCAAUACGUCUCGGUGCCGAACCGCUUGAUUUGCAAUGGUGCCUGACACGCUGAAUUUGGCACGGAUACGUAGGGACGAUUAUUUUUGGCGCAACCGCAGGUGCAUUAGGACACAAUGAAGAGUAACGGAAUCGAGAGGUUCUCGAAGUUCGACGCGCGAAGUAGAGCGUAACAAAUUGUUUAUUAAAACAAAUCUACUCGAUUGUAUCAUAGAAAAAAAGGUAUAUUUGUACUUCAAGCAUUAAAGCAACGAUGGUACCGCGGUUUUAGACUAUUCGAUACUCUUUCCGUUUGUAAUUUCCAGCCACUACCAAAGGAAUUCUUUUGAAAACCGUAAACACGUCCUCCAAGGCUUCGCUGUCUUUCCCAGGCUUCCAGAGCUUCGUUUACGCUACACAUGUUUACGCUACUUGCGUUAGGCUCGCGGUUGAGUUUCUAUCGCCGUUCCAUCCUGGUGACAGGACUGUGGGAUUAAUAAGGCGCGGACAACGGAAGAUUCCAAAAAUUUACAAACUAUAAAACAAGAACAAAGGUGCACAGGAAAAUACGGUGCAAACUUUACCCUGUAAUGUAGUCAUUGACUCAUUCAGUAGGCGAUUAAGUUUCUACGAUCAGCAGGGCAUAAAUCUGAAGAUCGUAACGCGUUAAAACAAUUAUUGCUACUAAUUACUCGUAAGACGAUAAUAGCUUCUAAUAGAACCAUGCCUCAUUGUCGUAUUUUGUCGUAGGCUGCAGUCUAUGCACAGCUGAACGGCCAAGUAAAUCGUUUCGUGGAGAAGAAAGAAAAAAUGAAAAAAUUGACGGGACGUCCUGGGGGACAAGGGAAUCGUCCCGUAAAAAUGUUACCGCGCGUCUCUCGCGGUCUUAUAAUUUCUCGCGAAGGAUAGGCUCGUAUCUCAGGUCAAUUAAGGGGAACUCGUUCGUAAACGACAAACACGUGGAACGCGACACCGACGCGGCGCGUCCCGAUGCGAAGCUUUUCUUCCCUGCAUCCCCUCGUUCUACUUUAUUGCGUAGGUGUUUCUCUUUUGCGUCGCAUUCGGAAUGAAUUACGCUACGCAACGUCGUUCGCACGACUAAAUUUCUUUUACGCGGAAGACAAAGCCUCGAGAAUGGUCGUUAAUCGUUUAACCCCGCUGUCAUCGCUACGGCGACGUUAAUUCUACUAGCUUGGUGCAUAAAUAAUCUCGUCCUUCAGUUGUUGACUUGAAGAAUACAAGAAUUACUGUUGCACCAACCUAACAUCAGAGAUGGUCAAAGUUUUAUUCGAAUAGUGCCAGCAGAAAUUAG